RNAcentral lists this ribosomal RNA (119 nucleotides) under Aegilops tauschii subsp. strangulata. Lineage: Eukaryota; Viridiplantae; Streptophyta; Magnoliopsida; Poales; Poaceae. The record is from RNAcentral.
GGAUGCGAUCAUACCAGCACUAAAGCACCGGAUCCCAUCAGAACUCCGAAGUUAAGCGUGCUUGGGCGAGAGUACUACUAGGAUGGGUGACCUCCUGGGAAGUCCUCGUGUUGCCCUUU